RNAcentral lists this ribosomal RNA (253 nucleotides) under uncultured bacterium. Its description in RNAcentral is "partial 16S ribosomal RNA". It matches the Rfam family "Bacterial small subunit ribosomal RNA", at positions 524 to 776 of the family's 1533-position model. The record is from RNAcentral.
UACGUAGGGGGCGAGCGUUGUCCGGAAUUAUUGGGCGUAAAGCGCGCGCAGGCGGUCCUUUAAGUCCGAUGUGAAAGCCCCCGGCUUAACCGGGGAGGGUCAUUGGAAACUGGAGGACUUGAGUGCAGAAGAGAAGAGCGGAAUUCCACGUGUAGCGGUGAAAUGCGUAGAGAUGUGGAGGAACACCAGUGGCGAAGGCGACUUUCUGGUCUGUAACUGACGCUGAGGCGCGAAAGCGUGGGGAGCAAACAGG